This is a long non-coding RNA of Empidonax traillii (willow flycatcher), 484 nucleotides long. RefSeq lists it as uncharacterized. NCBI's taxonomy places the organism in Eukaryota, Metazoa, Chordata, Aves, Passeriformes, Tyrannidae. The record is from RefSeq and is a predicted model, not a curated record. The transcript is spliced from 3 exons.
GUGUGCCCAGAUCCAUCCCCUCCCAGCAGCAAAAGCCCACAAGAACUCAGCAGUGCUGUCCAGCAGCAUCCUUAAUACCUCAGCAGCCACCUCACUAAGUAAAGUGAAUUCCUUCUGGAAGUAAAUAGCCUUAAUACUGGACGUCUGACAACUAACAUCAUACUUAAGUACUCCCUAGAAUGAAAGAAUAAAAUCUCAUGCUAGUAAGUCAAAGAACAGGAAAACUGUACCUGUAUUUUGCUGUUCCUUCAGUGACUAUACCAAGCUGACAAGGUAGUUAGAUUUGUUUAAGAACAUCCAUCAACAGAGAUGAUGGAGUCACAGAUAAACUGUAACAAUGCCGUACAGAAUUUACAGAGGUAAACUGAUGUGCACGCAUCACAGAAGAUAUGAAGUGCAGCAAAACAAUUGUUGAGUGAUGAAAAUGUAAUCAAUGUUUUGCUUUAAUUAAUUUAAAGCUUUUUAUGUCAUGUCAUUCCUCCUU